This 270-nucleotide ribosomal RNA is filed under the name uncultured bacterium. RNAcentral describes it as "partial 16S ribosomal RNA". It matches the Rfam family "Bacterial small subunit ribosomal RNA", at positions 220 to 504 of the family's 1533-position model. The record is from RNAcentral.
CAGGGAUGGGCUUAUGACGCAUUAGCCAGUUGGCAGGGUAACGGCCUACCAAAGCGACGAUCCAUAGCCGGCCUGAGAGGGCGACCGGCCACAUUGGGACUGAGACACGGCCCAAACUCCUACGGGAGGCAGCAGUGGGGAAUAUUGCACAAUGGGGGAAACCCUGAUGCCCCAGCGACGCCGCGUGAGCGAAGAAGUAUUUCGGUAUGUAAAGCUCUAUCAGCAGGGAAGAGAAUGACGGUACCUGACUAAGAAGCCCCGGCUAACUAC